Molecule: ribosomal RNA, 599 nt
Filed under: uncultured bacterium
Lineage: Bacteria
Description: bacterial SSU rRNA
Rfam family: Bacterial small subunit ribosomal RNA
Source: RNAcentral
GCCCGACCGUGGGGGAUAACCCGGCGAAAGCCGAGCUAAUCCCGCAUACGCUCUCACACGAGAGGAAAGCCUUACGGCGCGGACGGAGGAGCCUGCGGCCCAUCAGGUAGUUGGCGGGGUAACGGCCCACCAAGCCGCUGACGGGUAGCUGGUCUGUGAGGACAGACAGCCAGACUGGGACUGAGACACGGCCCAGACUCCUACGGGAGGCAGCAGCAAGGAAUUUUCGUCAAUGGGGGCAACCCUGAACGAGCAACGCCGCGUGGAGGAUGACGGCCUCCGGGUUGUAAACUCCUUUUGCGGGGGAUGAUAGUGACCGUACCCCGCGAAGAAGGCUCGGCUAACUCUGUGCCAGCAGCCGCGGUAAGACAGAGGAGCCAAGCGUUGUCCGGAUUGACUGGGCGUAAAGCGCACGCAGGCGGUCGUGCACGUGGGGUGUGAAAGCGGCAGGCUUAACUUGCCGAGGUCACCUCAUACGGCGCGACUCGAGCCCUGCAGAGGUCCACGGAAUUGCCGGUGUAGUGGUGAAAUGCGUAGAGAUCGGCAGGAACACCCAGGGGGAAACCAGUGGACUGGGCAGGAGCUGACGCUCAGGUGCG